RNAcentral lists this ribosomal RNA (584 nucleotides) under Rhizobiales bacterium E27. Its description in RNAcentral is "bacterial SSU rRNA". It matches the Rfam family "Bacterial small subunit ribosomal RNA", at positions 26 to 664 of the family's 1533-position model. The record is from RNAcentral. Lineage: Bacteria; Pseudomonadati; Pseudomonadota; Alphaproteobacteria; Hyphomicrobiales.
AAAGAGACGCUCUCGCAGCCUACACAUGCAAGUCGAACGAUGCUUUCGGGCAUAGUGGCGGGUGAGUAACCAAUGGGAGUCUACCCUUUUCUGCGGAAUAACUAACGCAAACUUGUGCUAAUACCGUAUGUGUCCUUCGGGAGAAAGAUUUAUCGGGAAAGGGCGAGCCCGCGUUGGAUUAGCUAGUUGGUGGGGUAAAGGCCUACCAAGGCGACGAUCCAUAGCUGGUCUGAGAGGAUGAUCAGCCACAUUGGGACUGAGACACGGCCCAAACUCCUACGGGAGGCAGCAGUGGGGAAUAUUGGACAAUGGGCGCAAGCCUGAUCCAGCCAUGCCGCGUGAGUGAUGAAGGCCCUAGGGUUGUAAAGCUCUUUCACCGGAGAAGAUAAUGACGGUAUCCGGAGAAGAAGCCCCGGCUAACUUCGUGCCAGCAGCCGCGGUAAUACGAAGGGGGCUAGCGUUGUUCGGAAUUACUGGGCGUAAAGCGCACGUAGGCGGAUCGAUCAGUCAGGGGUGAAAUCCCAGGGCUCAACCCUGGAACUGCCUUUGAUACUGUCGAUCUGGAGUAUGGAAGAGGUGAGUGG